RNAcentral lists this non-coding RNA (197 nucleotides) under Thermobrachium celere. Its description in RNAcentral is "T-box sequence". It matches the Rfam family "T-box leader". From Rfam's summary of the family: Uncharged tRNA acts as the effector for transcription antitermination of genes in the T-box leader family. The record is from RNAcentral. Lineage: Bacteria; Bacillati; Bacillota; Clostridia; Eubacteriales; Clostridiaceae.
GAAAAUGCUGUGAAGGAGAGAGUAGCAUAAUACCGUGUCUAAAAGAGAGCUGGGGUAGGUGAAAGCCAGUGGCACAGGGUUAUGUGAAGAUGGCUCUGGAGCACAACAGUCGAUAUGUAGGCUGUUGCGGCGUUGCCGUUAUCUUAAUUAAGGCCGUAUGGCGAAGUAGGGUGGUACCGCGAUGCCUCGCCCCUAUA